Molecule: ribosomal RNA, 429 nt
Filed under: Verrucomicrobiota bacterium
Lineage: Bacteria; Pseudomonadati; Verrucomicrobiota
Description: Verrucomicrobia bacterium partial 16S ribosomal RNA
Rfam family: Bacterial small subunit ribosomal RNA
Source: RNAcentral
UAGGGAAUCUUCCGCAAUGGACGAAAGUCUGACGGAGCAACGCCGCGUGAGUGAAGAAGGAUUUCGGUUCGUAAAACUCUGUUGUUAGGGAAGAAAAAAUGUAUAGUAACUAUAUACAAAAGAGACGGUACCUAACCAGAAAGCCACGGCUAACUACGUGUCAGCAGCCGCGGUAAUACGUAGGUGGCAAGCGUUGUCCGGAAUUAUUGGGCGUAAAGCGCGCGCAGGUGGUUUAGAAAGUCUGAUGUGAAAGCCCACGGCUCAACCGUGGAGGGUCAUUGGAAACUAAUAAACUUGAGUGCAGGAGAGAAAAGUGGAAUUCCUAGUGUAGCGGUGAAAUGCGUAGAGAUUAGGAGGAACACCGGUGGCGAAAGCGGCUUUUUGGCCUGCAACUGACACUGAGGCGCGAAAGCGUGGGGAGCAAACAGG